UACCAAGCAUGUAUUCCUCCUACUGAGC
RNAcentral lists this non-coding RNA (28 nucleotides) under Mus musculus (house mouse). The record is from RNAcentral. Lineage: Eukaryota; Metazoa; Chordata; Mammalia; Rodentia; Muridae.